UACGUAGGGGGCAAGCGUUGUCCGGAUUUAUUGGGCGUAAAGAGCGUGUAGGCGGCCAUACAGGUCCGUUGUGAAAACUCGAGGCUCAACCUCGAGACGUCGAUGGAAACCGUAUGGCUAGAGUCCGGAAGAGGAGAGUGGAAUUCCUGGUGUAGCGGUGAAAUGCGCAGAUAUCAGGAGGAACACCGGUGGCGAAGGCGGGUCUCUGGGCAAUAACUGACGCUGAGGAGCGAAAGCGUGGGGAGCGAACAGG
Molecule: ribosomal RNA, 253 nt
Filed under: uncultured bacterium
Lineage: Bacteria
Description: partial 16S ribosomal RNA
Rfam family: Bacterial small subunit ribosomal RNA
Source: RNAcentral